RNAcentral lists this ribosomal RNA (433 nucleotides) under uncultured bacterium. RNAcentral describes it as "partial 16S ribosomal RNA". It matches the Rfam family "Bacterial small subunit ribosomal RNA", at positions 29 to 507 of the family's 1533-position model. The record is from RNAcentral.
AACGAACGCUGGCGGCAGGCCUAACACAUGCAAGUCGAGCGAGCAUUUCGGUGCUAGCGGCGGACGGGUGAGUAACGCGUGGGAACGUGCCCUUUUCUGCGGAAUAGUCCUGGGAAACUGGGGGUAAUACCGCAUACGCCCUUUUGGGGAAAGAUUUAUCGGAGAAGGAUCGGCCCGCGUUGGAUUAGGUAGUUGGUGGGGUAAUGGCCCACCAAGCCGACGAUCCAUAGCUGGUUUGAGAGGAUGAUCAGCCACACUGGGACUGAGACACGGCCCAGACUCCUACGGGAGGCAGCAGUGGGGAAUCUUAGACAAUGGGGGCAACCCUGAUCUAGCCAUGCCGCGUGAGUGAUGAAGGCCUUAGAGUUGUAAAGCUCUUUCAGCUGGGAAGAUAAUGACGGUACCAGCAGAAGAAGCCCCGGCUAACUCUGUG